AGAACGAACGCUGGCGGCAUGCCUAAUACAUGCAAGUCGAACGAACACUUCGGUGUUAGUGGCGCACGGGUGCGUAACGCGUGGGAAUCUGCCCUUGGGUUCGGAAUAACAGUUGGAAACGACUGCUAAUACCGGAUGAUGACGAAAGUCCAAAGAUUUAUCGCCCAGGGAUGAGCCCGCGUAGGAUUAGCUAGUUGGUGAGGUAAAGGCUCACCAAGGCGACGAUCCUUAGCUGGUCUGAGAGGAUGAUCAGCCACACUGGGACUGAGACACGGCCCAGACUCCGUACGGGAGGCAGCAGUAGGGAAUAUUGGACAAGUGGGCGCAAGCCUGAUCCAGCAAUGCCGCGUGAGUGAUGGAAGGCCUUAAGGGUUGUAAAGUCUCUUUUACCCGAGAUUAGAUAAUGUACAGUAUCGGAAGAACUAACGCCCGGACUAACUCCGUCGACCAAGCACGCCGUACGGU
RNAcentral lists this ribosomal RNA (465 nucleotides) under uncultured soil bacterium. Its description in RNAcentral is "bacterial SSU rRNA". It matches the Rfam family "Bacterial small subunit ribosomal RNA", at positions 26 to 529 of the family's 1533-position model. The record is from RNAcentral.